Molecule: long non-coding RNA, 937 nt
Filed under: Pan troglodytes (chimpanzee)
Lineage: Eukaryota; Metazoa; Chordata; Mammalia; Primates; Hominidae
Description: long non-coding RNA NONPTRT011907
Source: RNAcentral
CAGAGGACCUGCUCCAUGUCACCUUCACUGAGUGGCAGAGCUGACAAUCACACCCUGGUCUGCUGAGCCUGGCCGCCGAGCCUGGGACUCCCAUGUUUGCCUCACCCAUACCCUUCCAGGUGCCUGGGGAAUGUGGGGCUCUGGCCUGAUGGCUGUUCUUGUUAUUAUGGUCUGUUGGUUUGUUUAUGCUCUACUUCAUUCUCGAAAGGAUUGAAGGAGGCCUUCAAGGAAAGAGGAAGACAAGGGGAAGAAUAAGUACACAAAAUAGAUUUGGAAAUAAGCUGAACACUAAUUGUAUCCCUUUUGGCUCUGAGCUUCCCGGCAGCCCAUGGAUUCAGGGAGCCUGGUCAGCUCUGCCAUUCCCAGGGCCAGUGACAAGCAGGGAAGCAGGGAUGUUUCAGAGAAAGCCCCACAUUUCUUGAGCUCCCAAGGGCUUCCUGAAGAAGCCACUGGGGUGAGGAGCCAGGGCGGAGGGUGUCAUUUGGGGAAAUCCAGGGAUGGGGUCCUUGGGGCUGGUGCUCAGCAGGCCAAAGGCUAGAGUCCCAAUUAGGUACAGUCCUGUGGGGCAUGAUGAGGCUCAGGGCCCCUCUCGCCAUGUGUCAGGGCACAUCUCCCUUCUUUGGCCAUCUCUCUCCACCCUGAGUUUCCUGGCCCUUCCUCACCCACCCUUUCUACCCUCCCUGGCUUCCUCUCCCCAAGGGCCCAGGCAUCCUCCUCUCUGAAGACGACUCCCUGUAUGAGGGCACCUUCACCAGGGACCUGACCCUCAUGGGGAAGGGCAAGGUCACCUUCCCCAAUGGCUUCACCCUGGAGGGCUCGUUCGGCAGUGGGGCAGGGAGAGGACUGCACACACAGGGUGUGCUGGACACGGCUGCCCUCCCACCAGACCCGAGCAGUACCUGCAAGAGGAUUCCAUAUGCUUCUGUCUGUCUUCUCG